CAAUACGGAAGGUACACGAGUGGCGCACGGGUGCGUAACGCGUAUGUAAUCUGCCCUUGACCGGAACAAAACAGCUGGAAACGGCUGCUAAUAUUCCAUGGUCAUUUUCGGAGGCAUCUCUGGGGAUGUAAAGAUUUAUUGGUCAAGGAUGAGCAUGCGUAUUAUUAGAUAGUUGGUGGGGUAACGGCCCACCAAGUCGACGAUGAUUAGGGGUUCUGAAAGGAUUAACCCCCACACUGGAACUGAGACACGGUCCAGACUCCUACGGGAGGCAGCAGUAGGGAAUAUUGGGCAAUGGAAGGAAUUCUGACCCAGCCAUGCCGCGUGAAGGAAGACGGUCCUAUGGAUUGUAAACUUCUUUUAUCGCAUAGUAAAUUGGGGCACGUGUGCCCCAUUAAAAAAAAGCGUUGUUUAAGUAUCGGCUGGGUCCGAAAAGCAGCCGCGGUAGUACGGAGGAUACGGGCGUUAUCCGGAUUUAUUGGGUUUAAAGGGUGCGCAGGCGGAUCGGUAAGUCAGGGGUGAAAAGUUCGUGCUUAACAUGAAUCGUGCCUUUGAUACUGCCGGACUAGAGUGCAAUAGACGUGGGCGGAAUGUGAUGUGUAGCGGUGAAAUGCUUAGAUAUGUCACAGAACACCGAUCGAGAAGUCAGCUCACGAGUUUGCAACUGACGCUCAUGCACGAAAGCGUGGGGAUCAAACAGGAUUAGAUACCCUGGUAGUCCACGCUGUAAACGAUGAUCACUCGUUGUUGGCCGGCGACGGUCAGUGGCCAAGCGAAAGCGAUAAGUGAUCCACCUGGGGAGUACGAUCGCAAGGUUGAAACUCAAAGGAAUUGACGGGGGCCCGCACAAGCGGAGGAGCAUGUGGUUUAAUUCGAUGUUACGCGAGGAACCUUACCCGGGCUUGAACGUAAGACGACGACGCAGGAGACUGCGUUUCCUACGGGCGUUUUGCGAGGUGCUGCAUGGUUGUCGUCAGCUCGUGCCGUGAGGUGUUAGGUUAAGUCCUGCAACGAGCGCAACCCUUACUUUUAGUUGCCAGCAUGUAAAGAUGGGGA
This 1056-nucleotide ribosomal RNA is filed under the name uncultured bacterium. RNAcentral describes it as "bacterial SSU rRNA". It matches the Rfam family "Bacterial small subunit ribosomal RNA", at positions 77 to 1137 of the family's 1533-position model. The record is from RNAcentral.